This 221-nucleotide non-coding RNA is filed under the name Pseudomonas flexibilis. The record is from RNAcentral. Lineage: Bacteria; Pseudomonadati; Pseudomonadota; Gammaproteobacteria; Pseudomonadales; Pseudomonadaceae.
CCCUGCGCGCCAGCUUCAGGUGCCCCCGUUCGCGGGGGUGAAACAGGGAAGCCGGUGCGCCACGCUCUGACCGUGGCAAUUCCGGCGCUGCCCCCGCAACGGUAGGCGAGUCUAGAAACCGCAGUUGGCCACUGUGCUCCGGCAUGGGAAGGCGCGGUAUUCGGGAACCCCCACGGGUUCCGCUCGCAAGCCCGGAGACCGGCCUGGCGCAUUUCCACGGC